UGGGGAAUAUUGGACAAUGGGCGCAAGCCUGAUGCAGCCAUGCCGCGUGUGUGAAGAAGGCCUUCGGGUUGUAAAGCACUUUCAGCGAGGAGGAAGGUGGUGAGCUUAAUACGCUCAUCAAUUGACGUUACUCGCAGAAGAAGCACCGGCUAACUCCGUGCCAGCAGCCGCGGUAAUACGGAGGGUGCAAGCGUUAAUCGGAAUUACUGGGCGUAAAGCGCACGCAGGCGGUUUGUUAAGUCAGAUGUGAAAUCCCCGGGCUCAACCUGGGAACUGCAUUUGAAACUGGCAAGCUAGAGUCUCGUAGAGGGGGGUAGAAUUCCAGGUGUAGCGGUGAAAUGCGUAGAGAUCUGGAGGAAUACCGGUGGCGAAGGCGGCCCCCUGGACGAAGACUGACGCUCAGGUGCGAAAGCGUGGGGCAGCAAACAGGAUUAGAUACCCUGGUAGUCCAGCGCUGUAAACGAUGUCGAUUUGGAGGUCGUGCCCUUGAGGCGUGGCUUCCGGAGCUAACGCGUUAAAUCGACCGCCUGGGGAGUACGGCCGCAAGGUUAAAACUUAAAUGAAUUGACGGGGUCAUAGCUGUUUCCUG
RNAcentral lists this ribosomal RNA (589 nucleotides) under uncultured bacterium. RNAcentral describes it as "partial 16S ribosomal RNA". It matches the Rfam family "Bacterial small subunit ribosomal RNA", at positions 355 to 1376 of the family's 1533-position model. The record is from RNAcentral.